AUUGAACGCUGGCGGCAGGCCUAACACAUGCAAGUCGAGCGGAAACGAGUUAUCUGAACCUUCGGGGAAUGAUAACGGCGUCGAGCGGCGGACGGGUGAGUAAUGCCUAGGAAAUUGCCAUGAUGUGGGGGAUAACCAUUGGAAACGAUGGCUAAUACCGCAUGAUGCCUACGGGCCAAAGAGGGGGACCUUCGGGCCUCUCGCGUCAGGAUAUGCCUAGGUGGGAUUAGCUAGUUGGUGAGGUAAGGGCUCACCAAGGCAACGAUCCCUAGCUGGUCUGAGAGGAUGAUCAGCCACACUGGAACUGAGACACGGUCCAGACUCCUACGGGAGGCAGCAGUGGGGAAUAUUGCACAAUGGGCGCAAGCCUGAUGCAGCCAUGCCGCGUGUAUGAAGAAGGCCUUCGGGUUGUAAAGUACUUUCAGCAGUGAGGAAGGCGGGUACGUUAAUAGCGUGCUCGUUUGACGUUAGCUGCAGAAGAAGCACCGGCUAACUCCGUGCCAGCAGCCGCGGUAAUACGGAGGGUGCGAGCGUUAAUCGGAAUUACUGGGCGUAAAGCGCAUGCAGGUGGUUUGUUAAGUCAGAUGUGAAAGCCCGGGGCUCAACCUCGGAAUAGCAUUUGAAACUGGCAGACUAGAGUACUGUAGAGGGGGGUAGAAUUUCAGGUGUAGCGGUGAAAUGCGUAGAGAUCUGAAGGAAUACCGGUGGCGAAGGCGGCCCCCUGGACAGAUACUGACACUCAGAUGCGAAAGCGUGGGGAGCAAACAGG
RNAcentral lists this ribosomal RNA (769 nucleotides) under uncultured Pseudoalteromonadaceae bacterium. Its description in RNAcentral is "bacterial SSU rRNA". It matches the Rfam family "Bacterial small subunit ribosomal RNA", at positions 28 to 776 of the family's 1533-position model. Lineage: Bacteria; Pseudomonadati; Pseudomonadota; Gammaproteobacteria; Alteromonadales; Pseudoalteromonadaceae. The record is from RNAcentral.